UAAGGAAUAUUGCUCAAUGGGAGAAAUCCUGAAGCAGCAACGCCGCGUGGAGGAUGAAGGGUCUAUGACUUGUAAACUCCUGUAAAGAAGGAAAAAAUUCCCAUUUGAUGGGAGAUGAUGGUACUUCUGGAGUAAGCCCCGGCUAACUACGUGCCAGCAGCCGUGGUAAUACGUAGGGGGCAAGCGUUGUCCGGAUUUACUGGGUGUAAAGGGUGCUCAGGCGGAUUUGUAAGUCAGAGGUGAAAUCUUACAGCUUAACUGUGAAACUGCCUUUGAUACUGCAAGCCUAGAGUAUGGAAGAGAGUGAUGGAAUAUCUGGUGUAGCAGUGAAAUGCGUAGAUAUCAGAUAGAACACCAAUGGCGAAGGCAGUCACUUGGUCCAUUACUGACGCUAAAGCACGAAAGCGUGGGUAGCAAACA
RNAcentral lists this ribosomal RNA (420 nucleotides) under uncultured bacterium. Its description in RNAcentral is "bacterial SSU rRNA". It matches the Rfam family "Bacterial small subunit ribosomal RNA", at positions 355 to 774 of the family's 1533-position model. The record is from RNAcentral.